RNAcentral lists this ribosomal RNA (328 nucleotides) under uncultured eukaryote. RNAcentral describes it as "partial 18S ribosomal RNA". It matches the Rfam family "Eukaryotic small subunit ribosomal RNA", at positions 1470 to 1796 of the family's 1831-position model. The record is from RNAcentral.
CCCUUAGAUGUUCUGGGCCGCACGCGCGCUACACUGACUACUUCAACGAGUUGUUUCCUUGAUCGAAAGGUCUGGGUAAUCUUUGAAAGGUAGUCGUGAUGGGGAUAGAUCCUUGCAAUUUUUGAUCUUCAACGAGGAAUUCCUAGUAAACGCAAGUCAUCAGCUUGCAUUGAUUACGUCCCUACCCUUUGUACACACCGCCCGUCGCACCUACCGAUUGAAUGGUCCGGUGAAUCUUUAGGACUGUGGCUGAGGCCUUGCCUUGUGCGGGUCUGGCCGUGGGAAUUUAGUUAAACCUUACCAUUUAGAGGAAGGUGAAGUCGUAACA